This 101-nucleotide ribosomal RNA is filed under the name Cycloclasticus sp. 46_120_T64. RNAcentral describes it as "partial 23S ribosomal RNA". The stretch from base 1 to 83 matches the Rfam family "Bacterial large subunit ribosomal RNA", at positions 2843 to 2925 of the family's 2925-position model. Lineage: Bacteria; Pseudomonadati; Pseudomonadota; Gammaproteobacteria; Thiotrichales; Piscirickettsiaceae. The record is from RNAcentral.
GACUACAAGGUUGAUAGGCACGGUGUGGAAGCGCAGUAAUGUGUGAAGCUAACGUGUACUAAUUGCCCGUGAGGCUUGACCAUAUAACACCCAAAAGGGUU